Long non-coding RNA from Vicia villosa (hairy vetch), 1907 nucleotides. RefSeq lists it as uncharacterized. Lineage: Eukaryota; Viridiplantae; Streptophyta; Magnoliopsida; Fabales; Fabaceae. The transcript is spliced from 3 exons. The record is from RefSeq and is a predicted model, not a curated record.
ACGUUGUGCCAAUUCACAUUCAAUUUUGUUUCUCUGGGAAAACGUUUUCCACCGUCAAAAUACAUAAAACGAUUCACCUUCAAUAUCUUUUUCCAAUUCACAUCCAAUUUCUUUUCUCAAUGCAACCCCUUCAAUUAUCAUCCUCUCUCCUUUCAUACCUUAACCACAAAGCCAACACAACUUUUGAAUGUACAUCGACCGCAUGCCGCCUCGCCGGCCGGAGACACCGCCAAAACAAUUUAAUAUCCGCCAUUAGGUAAACGCAACCCAUCUCUCUUUCUCUCUCCAUUUCACAUUAGGUCGAAGUUUUCACUAAAUGGUGGAACUGAACUCACUCCACUCAUGGAUGUGGAGAGGAGACAUGAUACACAUUUAGUUCUGCAGAGCUUUAUUUUGCCUUAAUACUUUUUCACUAAAUAGUGUUUUCAGGUUCUUUGCUUUGCUGGUUUUUUUACUUUAAUCCUUAAAUUUAGGGUAUCUUAAGAACUCGAUAUUUCCUUGCCAUUUGGGAUGAGUCUGCAAAACACAUAUUCCCGAUGAAAAGACAAUUGGUUGAGUGGUGCCUCUUAAUAAUGUGCAAAAGAGAGUUAAAAUAAGUGCAUAAAAAGAGUCCAAGGGUAAGAGACUUCGGCUGAGUUAUAGAAUGUUAGUUUGUCUAAUCUUAAAAAUUUGGUAGUGUGUCAAUGAGUUUGUUGUUCCACAAGUAGAUGCAUCAGCCUUCUUUCCCAUUUUAGUUCGUUUUGCAGCAACUGAGACAUUUAGUGACCUGAAGGUUUGUGUUUUUCUUUAUGCUCAUGAAGGUAAUUGUUAUGAUUCCUGUUAUUAUUUCUUAUAUCUUUGCUUUGUGUACAUGUAAACUAUAUAUUUUACUUGGAUAUAUAUUUUGGUUAGAAUUAUGGAAGUUGUUUUAAUUUUGAAAAUUAUAGAAUUGUGAUUGCUUAUGUUGCAGUGUUACAAUUGGCUCAUUUCAUUUCUAAGUAACAUCAAAUGUGAUGCUAUUUGUACAUCAUAGUUUAUUUGAUGUUAUUUGUACAAAUUCGGUUUCAUUCUCACUUCAUGUGACGCGUUAAUAUUAUGUUUUGUUUUGAUCAUGUUUUCUGUCAACAUAUAGACUACUGUUCUUAACUUCUUAAUAUGAUCUCUUUGUAAGGGUGUUUUUUUCUUCGAAUAAUAUUUGAUCUCUUUGUACAUGUGCUUUUUCGAAUACACAUCCAAAGUCACGCAACCUAUAAACUGCAAAGAUGAUGAAUUGCGCCCAGAUCUGUAUAGCGGGUUGUCAUUAGUGUCGAUUGCACAAGUUUGGUGAAUUGAUCGGUUUGGGUUGUUGUGGAGUUUCACCAUCAACUGCUGUAAUUUUGUUACUGGUUAUAUGUUUCAACCUCUAUUUGUUGCAAGGCUGUUUGUCAAAUAUAUAUGAUGCAAUACUGCUUCUGAGAGUAAUCGACGUUUUGCAAGUCCGAUAAGGUCGGUAAAGCAUUCCAACUGCUGGAGGAAAUGAAGACAAAGAGUCUACAACCCACUUCUGUAACUUAUGGUUCUAUUGUUGAUGGAGUAGCUAAAAUUGAAAGGUUGAGGAAGCAUACAUGUUAUUUGAAGAAGCAAAAUCAAUAGGACGUUUUUUACAUAUAUGGGGCUAAGGACAUAACAGAGAAAAGGUAUUGAUUUUUUUUUCAUAUUAUAAGCAGUUUGCAGGUAAUCAAAUGACGUCUUUCUUAUUAUCUUUUUGUCCAGCAAACCAUUUUUACUUGGUUUUGUAAAUGAUAUUAUAAAAACUUUAUUAAUAUUUUUUUAGUUUUUGACUUUGUGUUUGUUUGGUAGUAUUAAUUUAAGUUUUGUAGAUGUCAGAUAAUGAUUGUAUAACAAAUUAUAAACAUUGUGAAGAAUAAAUCUUGGGGAACAUAAAAUUU